GAUGAACGCUAGCGGCAGGCUUAACACAUGCAAGUCGAGGGGUAUUGGUUUUCGGACCAAGAGACCGGCGCACGGGUGCGUAACGCGUAUGCAAUCUACCUUUUGCAGAGGGAUAGCCCCAGAGAAAUUUGGAUUAAUACCUCAUAGUAUAGUACUUUGGCAUCAAGGAACUAUUAAAGUCACAACGGCAAAAGAUGAGCAUGCGUCCCAUUAGCUAGUUGGUAAGGUAACGGCUUACCAAGGCUACGAUGGGUAGGGGUCCUGAGAGGGAGAUCCCCCACACUGGUACUGAGACACGGACCAGACUCCUACGGGAGGCAGCAGUGAGGAAUAUUGGACAAUGGGCGCAAGCCUGAUCCAGCCAUGCCGCGUGCAGGAUGACGGUCCUAUGGAUUGUAAACUGCUUUUUAAUACAGGAAGAAACACUCCGACGUGUCGGAGCUUGACGGUACUGUAAGAAUAAGGAUCGGCU
RNAcentral lists this ribosomal RNA (472 nucleotides) under uncultured bacterium. RNAcentral describes it as "bacterial SSU rRNA". It matches the Rfam family "Bacterial small subunit ribosomal RNA", at positions 28 to 498 of the family's 1533-position model. The record is from RNAcentral.